Molecule: long non-coding RNA, 334 nt
Filed under: Rattus norvegicus (Norway rat)
Lineage: Eukaryota; Metazoa; Chordata; Mammalia; Rodentia; Muridae
Description: long non-coding RNA NONRATT004814
Source: RNAcentral
CCUCAGGUUCUUCAGUCAGCCAAGGAACAAAUUAAGUGGUCGUUAUUGAAAUGAAGACCUUGGAGUCAAGGCUCCUUUCCCAGAGAACCUUUGCCGGUCCCUGCGUAAGCCCCAAAAUGUCAAGAGGCAAGAGAGACCACCCUGCCUUCUCCGGCCUCUCUCCCUGAGGCCUCGUGCCAGGGAUUCUGAGACCCAAAAGCUUGGCCCCAGUUCUGUCAUCCUUGCUCAGCGUCCCGGCCUGCCCCUGGGGUCAUGGGAACCAGCAAAAUUGCCUCCCCUUGGACCUCUGACAUCUCAGUCCUAGGACUUAAUAAACUUCCAAUUUUUCCCCAAA